Molecule: long non-coding RNA, 412 nt
Organism: Lagenorhynchus albirostris (white-beaked dolphin)
Lineage: Eukaryota; Metazoa; Chordata; Mammalia; Artiodactyla; Delphinidae
Exons: 2
Source: RefSeq, a predicted model, not a curated record
GGCCCCUCCCUGAGAGCACCGACGGGAGCCCCGGCCGAGCCCUGGAUCAGUGAUCCCUGCCCAAGGAAGCCCCCUCUGGACAGGAGGGGGAGCGGUUGGUCCUCACCCUAGGAAGAGAUGAGCCUCCUCAGCCCCAAAAAGGAAGAGAAAGAGGACGGCUUUCUGGGUCCCCAUGAGAUGGGAAUGUUCCCACUUUCUAUCUGGAUUCUCUGCAGAAGACAGCAAGAUAACCCAGGGGAUAUUGGUGGAAAGGGUGAGUGAAUGGGAAUCAAGCUGAAGGAAGAGAAAGAAGGAAAGAAAGAUACCAGUAAACCACCAAUGUACAGACCAGAGGAGGAAUUGUCAUAAAUAACUAUUAGGUUUCUAUGACAUUUGAAAAUACAUGUACUUUUUACUGUAUGUGAACAGUGAA